UUGGAGGGCAAGUCUGGUGCCAGCAGCCGCGGUAAUUCCAGCUCCAAUAGCGUAUAUUAAAGUUGUUGCAGUUAAAAGCUCGUAGUUGAAUUUCGGGGUCAGCAGGUUGGUCGUGCCAAUGGUAUGAACUGGCCUUGCUGAUUCCUCCCUCUUGAUGAGCCGUAAUGCCAUUAAUUUGGUGUUGCGGGGAAUCAGGACUGUUACUUUGAAAAAAUUAGAGUGUUUAAAGCAGGCAAGCGCUUGAAUACAUUAGCAUGGAAUAAUGAAAUAGGACGUUUGAUCCUAUUUUGUUGGUUUCUAGGAUUGACGUAAUGAUUAAUAGGGAUAGUUGGGGGCAUUAGUAUUCAAUUGUCAGAGGUGAAAUUCUUGGAUUUAUUGAAGACUGACUACUGCGAAAGCAUUUGCCAAGGAUGUUUUCAUUAAUCAAGAACGAAAGUUAGGGGAUCGAAGACGAUCAGAUACCGUCGUAGUCUUAACCAUAAACUAUGCCGACUAGGGAUCGGAUGAUGUUAAUUUUUUAAUGACUCAUUCGGCGCCUUACGGGAAAC
Molecule: ribosomal RNA, 548 nt
Filed under: uncultured Glomus
Lineage: Eukaryota; Fungi; Glomeromycota; Glomeromycetes; Glomerales; Glomeraceae
Description: SSU rRNA
Rfam family: Eukaryotic small subunit ribosomal RNA
Source: RNAcentral